This 460-nucleotide ribosomal RNA is filed under the name uncultured bacterium. Its description in RNAcentral is "partial 16S ribosomal RNA". It matches the Rfam family "Bacterial small subunit ribosomal RNA", at positions 338 to 795 of the family's 1533-position model. The record is from RNAcentral.
CCUACGGGUGGCAGCAGUGAGGAAUAUUGGUCAAUGGGCGCGAGCCUGAACCAGCCAAGUAGCGUGAAGGAUGAAUGACCUACGGGUCGUAAACCUCUUUUAUAAGGGAAUAAAGUGCGGCACGCGUGCCUCUUCGCAUGUACUUUAUGAAUAAGGAUCGGCUAACUCCGUGCCAGCAGCCGCGGUAAUACGGAGGAUCCGAGCGUUAUCCGGAUUUAUUGGGUUUAAAGGGAGCGUAGAUGGGUUGUUAAGUCAGUUGUGAAAGUUUGCGGCUCAACCAUAAAAUUGCAGUUGAUACUGGCAGCCUUGAGUACAGUUGAGGUAGGCGGAAUGCGUGGUGUAGCGGUGAAAUGCUUAGAUAUCACGAAGAACUCCGAUUGCGAAGGCAGCCUACUAAGCUGCCACUGACAUUGAUGCUCGAAAGUGUGGGUAUCAAACAGGAUUAGAUACCCUGGUAGUC